RNAcentral lists this transfer RNA (73 nucleotides) under Bos taurus (domestic cattle). It matches the Rfam family "tRNA". Rfam says of the family: Transfer RNA (tRNA) molecules are approximately 80 nucleotides in length. Their secondary structure includes four short double-helical elements and three loops (D, anti-codon, and T loops). RNAcentral also lists the same sequence under 3 other names. The record is from Rfam by way of RNAcentral. Lineage: Eukaryota; Metazoa; Chordata; Mammalia; Artiodactyla; Bovidae.
CCAUUGGUGGUCCAGUGGUUAGGACUUUAUGCUUCCAAUGUAAGGAGAACGGGUUUGAUUCCCGGUCAGGGAA